This 1135-nucleotide long non-coding RNA is filed under the name Capsicum annuum. Its description in RNAcentral is "long non-coding RNA (CANN_LNC007486)". The record is from RNAcentral. Lineage: Eukaryota; Viridiplantae; Streptophyta; Magnoliopsida; Solanales; Solanaceae.
CUCGAUCAAUCCUCAAUUCAUGUGUUGGCUUUCAAGAUUGAGUUAGCCUUAUGGUCAGAGCUAGACUCAACCUUCUUGUUAAAUCCUUAGUUUUGAUGAUUGACAAAUUGUAUUUAAAUUGUAUGUUGGGACCUGUUUUUUGGAGAUUUUGUGAUGACAAAGCUGCUACUACUUAGGGAACAGGUUGGUCUUACCUGUCACUAUUACGGUCAACUCUCACAGCUGACACAAAGUACGAAAGUUGGUGGAAAAGCUGUUGCCAUUUUUUUGCCUCAACCAAUGGGAUUUCUCCUAUGUUUUCUUGUGUCAUACUAGAUAUUGCUCAUCUUCUUCAACAAGAAAACCAACGUUUCCAUAUUCUCACAACAAAAUAUCUUUCUGAAGUGGAAUCAAAGACUCCUCUUGCAACCGGGAACUGAUUGUUCAUCGAGCUGUAUUUUUACUUCCUCGUUAUAGUUGAGUCUUUAUACAUUGUUCUUAAACUUUUGGCUACAUUUGCUUAUGAUUGUUAGUAGGUGUUGAGGUGUAAAUCUUUCUCAUUGUAGUCAUCUAGAGUUAGGUGAUCGUUCAAGCUAGAGUUAGCUUGGUGUGUCCAGUUAGAGUUAGCUGGUGCUUGUGGCAGUAGAGUUUCCUGAAUGGGUCUUCUUAUAAUAGAGUUAUUUCUAGGAGACAAAGGAUAGGAGGUUAAUACUUGGAGUCUAUAUUCAAGAAGUUGCUUGGAUAUAGUGGAUGGAUAUAGUGGACGUUAGAAAUCCUGGAAGCAGGCCGUGGUUUUUCUCCCUUGAGCAAGGAGUUUCCAAGUAAAAACCUUGUGUCUGCUAUUUACUUUAUUCCCGCACUUCUUAGUUUAUAUUUCUCCUAAUUCUUGUUAUGUGAGUUCAUUUCGGAACAGGUCCCUGUGUUGAGGAGCAACCCACUGCAACUCUUCACCUCUUAUUGUGCGUCGCAAUGUAGGGCCCCCAUAUUAUUUUGUCCACCCUCUAGUUGGAAGGCCUGGGCGUGCAGUGGGUUGUGAAGCGGCACACAGAAAAAAAUCAUUGAAAUUCACUCAAACUUCUAUCUUGGUAUCAUAUUUAAUCAUUAAAAUCUAACCCUUGUUGCCAUUACAGAUAUUUGUGCAAAAACUUCUUCGACC